AUGGGUGCCCCUACGGUGGUGGCGCUGACCCUAGCCUGGGGGCUGAUGCCGGACUUCUCUAACCACGGUUUGUGCACGGUGAAGCGGAUAGUCGGCUUUGUCUCGUGGCAUGGAUGCCGGGGCGGCGGCCCUGGAAGGUGGUCCACAUGGUUGGCUCUCCGGCGGGCACCAUGGCGGCGGUGGUGGCAUUGUCUCUUGGUCGUGUGGGCGGCGACAGGCUUGGCGCAAGGUAGCUCGGGCGUGCUCUCGGUCUCCGUGGGGGCGUCUCAAUCCGGAUCUAGGGACAUGAGCUCGUCAUGCUUCUUCUGA
Molecule: ribosomal RNA, 309 nt
Filed under: Triticum aestivum (bread wheat)
Lineage: Eukaryota; Viridiplantae; Streptophyta; Magnoliopsida; Poales; Poaceae
Description: partial small subunit ribosomal RNA
Source: RNAcentral